GUCGGCAGCUGGUCCUGAUGCUGCGGAUGCCAUCUAUCUCUCAUACAGGGAUGACAAUAGAAGAUACUGAUAGUUGAAGGACAGAUGCACCAGCCACUUAGUCCCAGAGAGGGGGAUAAGUGAGAAGAGGAGGCCAGUGUGGGCCAGAAGAGGGUGGAUGAGACAAAAGGAGAAGAGAACGAGGUGGAACCCAGGUCCAUGCCCAGGAAUAACUCACAGGAGCUACUAGGCCCCCUGCCCAGCCUGUGAGAUAUCAGAGAAAUUUGGAGGAAGGUCAAGCUGCGAACAAUUUAAGGAGUCUGUCAGCGGGCAUAGAGGAGAGAUAUUUGGAGUAGGGAUGGUCUUGGCAGCUAAUUGAAAUGGGAGAAAAUGAG
This is a long non-coding RNA of Oreochromis niloticus (Nile tilapia), 374 nucleotides long. RefSeq lists it as uncharacterized. Lineage: Eukaryota; Metazoa; Chordata; Actinopteri; Cichliformes; Cichlidae. The transcript has 3 exons. The record is from RefSeq and is a predicted model, not a curated record.